RNAcentral lists this ribosomal RNA (504 nucleotides) under uncultured Oscillospiraceae bacterium. RNAcentral describes it as "bacterial SSU rRNA". It matches the Rfam family "Bacterial small subunit ribosomal RNA", at positions 1 to 507 of the family's 1533-position model. The record is from RNAcentral. Lineage: Bacteria; Bacillati; Bacillota; Clostridia; Eubacteriales; Oscillospiraceae.
AGUAGUUGUAGUCCUGGCGUCAGGACGAACGACUGGCGGCGCGCCUAACACAUGCAAGUCAACGGGACUAUACUGGAAGAAGUUUUCGGAUUGGAUUUCGGUAUAGUUUAGUGGCGGACGGGUGAGUAACACGUGAGCAACCUGCCUUCGAGAGGGGAAUAACGGCUGGAAACGGUCGCUAAUACCGCAUAACAUACUGGAGGACAUCCUGCUGGUAUCAAAGAUUUAUCGCUCGAAGAUGGGCUCGCGUCCGAUUAGGUAGUUGGUGAGGUAACGGCUCACCAAGCCGACGAUCGGUAGCCGGACUGAGAGGUUGAACGGCCACAUUGGGACUGAGACACGGCCCAGACUCCUACGGGAGGCAGCAGUGGGGGAUAUUGCACAAUGGGGGAAACCCUGAUGCAGCGACGCCGCGUGUGGGAAGACGGUCCUCUGGAUUGUAAACCACUGUCCCCAGGGACGAAAAUGACGAUACCUGGGGAGGAAGCUCCGGCUAACUACGUG